RNAcentral lists this ribosomal RNA (253 nucleotides) under uncultured bacterium. RNAcentral describes it as "partial 16S ribosomal RNA". It matches the Rfam family "Bacterial small subunit ribosomal RNA", at positions 524 to 776 of the family's 1533-position model. The record is from RNAcentral.
UACGAAGGGGGCUAGCGUUGCCCGGAAUCACUGGGCGUAAAGCGCACGUAGGCGGCUUUCUAAGUCAGGGGUGAAAUCCUGGAGCUCAACUCCAGAACUGCCUUUGAUACUGGAGAGCUUGAGUCCGGGAGAGGUGAGUGGAACUCCGAGUGUAGAGGUGAAAUUCGUAGAUAUUCGGAAGAACACCAGUGGCGAAGGCGGCUCACUGGCCCGGUACUGACGCUGAUGUGCGAAAGCGUGGGGAGCGAACAGG